Molecule: long non-coding RNA, 486 nt
Organism: Gossypium raimondii (Peruvian cotton)
Lineage: Eukaryota; Viridiplantae; Streptophyta; Magnoliopsida; Malvales; Malvaceae
Exons: 2
Source: RefSeq, a predicted model, not a curated record
AGCCCAUUUUUUAAAAAAAAACCUCAAAACCUCUCAAAAGUUCUCUCUCCUCUCCCCAAAAACCGACCACUUUUCGGUUGCCGGCGCCGCCGUAUGCGGCGGUCGGCGAAGCCCAAAAGCACCCCUUUUAAACGCCCUUUCGUGAGGAGUCUCGUUCUGGAGUUAGAAACACCGGUACAUCAGCAAAUUGGGCCGAAAAGGGGUGACUGUGGCAGUGUCAGGCAAAGCAGGUGGCGGAGGGCAGAUGAUCGGACGUGACGUGCGGCGCACAUGGUCCUGGCAUGCGGCGUUGGAGGAGGGACUAGGGUUCUGAAACCCUAGUCUUUGUUGGGUUUGGGCCAUAAUGUUUGGGCCUGUUUUUGUAAAUGGACUAGGUUUUAGUUUGGGCUGAAUUGGGUAGUUGGGUUUGUUGGGCUUAUUGGGCCGGGGUAUAAAAUUGGGCUGUACAACUUGGAAAUAAAAAAAAUUAUAUAAACUUUGAAGUGA